UACGGAGGAUGCGAGCGUUAUCCGGAUUUAUUGGGUUUAAAGGGUGCGUAGGCGGGGAGGUAAGUCAGCGGUAAAAUUUCGGUGCUUAACGCCGGACCGCCGUUGAAACUGCCCCUCUUGAGUGGGCGAGAAGUAUGCGGAAUGCGUGGUGUAGCGGUGAAAUGCAUAGAUAUCACGCAGAACUCCGAUUGCGAAGGCAGCAUACCGGCGCCCGACUGACGCUGAGGCACGAAAGCGUGGGUAUCGAACAGG
Molecule: ribosomal RNA, 252 nt
Filed under: uncultured bacterium
Lineage: Bacteria
Description: partial 16S ribosomal RNA
Rfam family: Bacterial small subunit ribosomal RNA
Source: RNAcentral